This 675-nucleotide ribosomal RNA is filed under the name Bacillus sp. HRS10. RNAcentral's name for it is "bacterial SSU rRNA". It matches the Rfam family "Bacterial small subunit ribosomal RNA", at positions 104 to 763 of the family's 1533-position model. Lineage: Bacteria; Bacillati; Bacillota; Bacilli; Caryophanales; Bacillaceae. The record is from RNAcentral.
GGGUGAGUAACACGUGGGCAACCUGCCUGUAAGAUCGGAAUAACCCCGGGAAACCGGGGCUAAUGCCGGGUAAUACUUUCUUUCGCAUGAAGGAAAGUUGAAAGAUGGCUUCUCGCUAUCACUUACAGAUGGGCCCGCGGCGCAUUAGCUAGUUGGUGAGGUAACGGCUCACCAAGGCGACGAUGCGUAGCCGACCUGAGAGGGUGAUCGGCCACACUGGGACUGAGACACGGCCCAGACUCCUACGGGAGGCAGCAGUAGGGAAUCUUCCGCAAUGGACGAAAGUCUGACGGAGCAACGCCGCGUGAACGAUGAAGGUCUUCGGAUCGUAAAGUUCUGUUGUUAGGGAAGAACAAGUACCGUGCGAAUAGAGCGGUACCUUGACGGUACCUAACGAGGAAGCCCCGGCUAACUACGUGCCAGCAGCCGCGGUAAUACGUAGGGGGCAAGCGUUGUCCGGAAUUAUUGGGCGUAAAGCGCGCGCAGGCGGUUCCUUAAGUCUGAUGUGAAAGCCCACGGCUCAACCGUGGAGGGUCAUUGGAAACUGGGGAACUUGAGGACAGAAGAGGAGAGUGGAAUUCCACGUGUAGCGGUGAAAUGCGUAGAUAUGUGGAGGAACACCAGUGGCGAAGGCGACUCUCUGGUCUGUUUCUGACGCUGAGGUGCGAAAGCGUG